AGUGAACGCUGGCGGUAGGCCUAACACAUGCAAGUCGAACGGCAGCACAGAGGAGCUUGCUCCUUGGGUGGCGAGUGGCGGACGGGUGAGGAAUACAUCGGAAUCUACUCUGUCGUGGGGGAUAACGUAGGGAAACUUACGCUAAUACCGCAUACGACCUACGGGUGAAAGCAGGGGAUCUUCGGACCUUGCGCGAUUGAAUGAGCCGAUGUCGGAUUAGCUAGUUGGCGGGGUAAAGGCCCACCAAGGCGACGAUCCGUAGCUGGUCUGAGAGGAUGACCAGCCACACUGGGACUGAGACACGGCCCAGACUCCUACGGGAGGCAGCAGUGGGGAAUCUUGGACAAUGGGGGCAACCCUGAUCCAGCGAUACCGCGUGUGUGAAGAAGGCCUUCGGGUUGUAAAGCACUUUAGGUGGGGAAGAAAAGUAUAUUGUGAAUAACAGUUUGCGCUGACGGUACCCGCAGAAUAAGCACCGGCUAACUCUGUGCCAGCAGCCGCCGUAA
RNAcentral lists this ribosomal RNA (506 nucleotides) under uncultured bacterium. RNAcentral describes it as "partial 16S ribosomal RNA". It matches the Rfam family "Bacterial small subunit ribosomal RNA", at positions 29 to 523 of the family's 1533-position model. The record is from RNAcentral.